This 969-nucleotide ribosomal RNA is filed under the name Lichenotheliaceae sp. Ertz 17457. RNAcentral's name for it is "partial 12S ribosomal RNA". It matches the Rfam family "Bacterial small subunit ribosomal RNA", at positions 370 to 1171 of the family's 1533-position model. The record is from RNAcentral. Lineage: Eukaryota; Fungi; Ascomycota; Dothideomycetes; Lichenotheliales; Lichenotheliaceae.
AAUAGCCUAACGGCUGAACCAGCAAUUUGGGAGAAUGACGGAGGAUAGAUGAUGACUAGUGGGGCCAGAUAAAUAAUUGUUGUCUUGCAGGGUUCGGCUUUAUCGCUUUCUGGCGAGGAUCGGCUUAGUCGAAUAAAGUUCUAGGUAGAAUAAUGAUUAUGACAAUUUUCUAUCUAAAUGUCUUGACCAAGUCACGUGCCAGCAGUCGCGGUAAUACGUGGAAGACUAGUGUUAUUCAUCUUUAAUAGGUUUAAAGGGUACCUAGACGGUACUUCUAGCCCCCACAAAGGGUACGGAUUUACUAGAGUUUUAUGUGAGAGGCAAAUAUUAGUACUAUUGGUGUAGAGAUGAAAUUCGUUGAUACUAUUAGGACUGGUGGCGGCGAAAGCAACCCUCUAAGUAUAAACUGACGUUGAGGGACGAAGGCUUGGGUAGCGAACAGGAAAACCCUAGUAGUCCAGGCAGAAAAUUAUGAGUGCCAUAGAUUAGAUUAAGUACCAUUGUACUCCUCAUGGUAUCCUUUUAUCGAUUUAGAUUAGGUGAAGUGGGGUUUGAUGCUAGUAUUACUCUAAGUUUACUAGUAGUUCAAAUCAUAUAAAGAUUGCUAGCAAUCUUUAAUGAUUCUAAGAUGUACUGUGGUCUAUAAAUGAAAGUGUAAGCAUUCCACCUCAAGAGUAAUGUGGCAACGCAGGAACUGAAAUCAUUAGACCGUUUCUGAAACCAGUAGUGAAGUAUGUUAUUUAAUUCGAUAACCCACGAAAAACCUUACCACAAUAUGAAUGUAAUAUAUCUAGUAGUUUAAUAGUUGUAUAGUUAAAAAAACUAGAUGUAUUAACACAAGUGUUGCACGGCUGUUUGCAGUUAAUGUCGUGAGAACUUGGUUAGAUCCAUUAAAUUAACGUAAUCCCUUUCAUUAGUUGUCUGUACUAAUGGAGUUCACCGCUAUAUUGGAUAUGAUAACAGGGAAUA